Molecule: ribosomal RNA, 494 nt
Filed under: uncultured bacterium
Lineage: Bacteria
Description: bacterial SSU rRNA
Rfam family: Bacterial small subunit ribosomal RNA
Source: RNAcentral
ACGACGCUGGCGGCGUGCCUAAUACAUGCAAGUCGAGCGGACCAAAGGGAGCUUGCUCCUGGAGGUCAGCGGCGAACGGGUGAGUAACACGUGGGCAACCUGCCUGUAAGACUGGGAUAACAUCGAGAAAUCGGUGCUAAUACCGGAUAAUAAAAAGAACUGCAUGGUUCUUUUUUGAAAGAUGGUUUCGGCUAUCACUUACAGAUGGGCCCGCGGCGCAUUAGCUAGUUGGUGAGGUAACGGCUCACCAAGGCAACGAUGCGUAGCCGACCUGAGAGGGUGAUCGGCCACACUGGGACUGAGACACGGCCCAGACUCCUACGGGAGGCAGCAGUAGGGAAUCUUCCGCAAUGGACGAAAGUCUGACGGAGCAACGCCGCGUGAGUGAUGAAGGUUUUCGGAUCGUAAAACUCUGUUGUUAGGGAAGAACAAGUGCCGUUCGAAAGGGCGGCACCUUGACGGUACCUAACGAGAAAGCCACGGCUAACUACGUG